Molecule: ribosomal RNA, 246 nt
Filed under: uncultured Lactobacillus sp.
Lineage: Bacteria; Bacillati; Bacillota; Bacilli; Lactobacillales; Lactobacillaceae
Description: partial 16S ribosomal RNA
Rfam family: Bacterial small subunit ribosomal RNA
Source: RNAcentral
CGUGGGUAACCUGCCCAAGAGAUCGGGAUAACACCUGGAAACAGAUGCUAAUACCGGAUAACAACAGAUGAUGCCUAUCAACUGUUUAAAAGAUGGUUCUGCUAUCACUCUUGGAUGGACCUGCGGUGCGUUAGCUAGUUGGUAGGGUAACGGCCUACCAAGGCGAUGAUGCAUAGCCGAGUUGAGAGACUGAUCGGCCACAUUGGGACUGAGACACGGCCCAAACUCCUACGGGAGGCAGCAGCC